This 300-nucleotide signal recognition particle RNA is filed under the name Cebus imitator (Panamanian white-faced capuchin). RNAcentral's name for it is "Metazoan signal recognition particle RNA (ENSCCAG00000001946.1)". It matches the Rfam family "Metazoan signal recognition particle RNA". From Rfam's summary of the family: The signal recognition particle (SRP) is a universally conserved ribonucleoprotein. The record is from RNAcentral. Lineage: Eukaryota; Metazoa; Chordata; Mammalia; Primates; Cebidae.
GCCAGGCGCGGUGGUGAGUGCCCGUAGUCCCAGUUAUUCGGGAUGCUGAGGCUGGAGGAUUUCUUGAGUCCAGGAGUUCUGGCCUGUAGCGCGCUCUGACGAUCGGGUGUCCGCACUAAGUUUAGCAUCAAUAUGGUGACCUUCCGGGAGCGGGGGACCACCAGGUUGCCUAAGGAGGGGUGAACCAGCCCAGGUUGGAAACAGAGCAGGUCAAAACUCCCAUGUUGAUCAGUAGUGGGAUCGUGCCUGUGAAUAGCCACUGCACUCCAGCCUGGGCAACAUAGUGAGACCCCAAUCUCU